AGGGAAUUUUGCGCAAUGGACGGAAGUCUGACGCAGCAACGCCGCGUGAAGGAUGACGGCCUUCGGGUUGUAAACUUCUGUUGGAUGGGAAAAAAAGCCUAGGAAUAGGAAUUGAUGGUACCAUUCGAGUAAGCACCGGCUAACUACGUGCCAGCAGCCGCGGUAAUACGUAGGGUGCGAGCGUUGUUCGGAAUCACUGGGCGUAAAGGGAGCGUAGGCGGGAUCGUAAGUUAGGAGUUUAAUACAUGGGCUCAACCCGUGAUAUGCUUUUAAUACUGCGGUUCUUGAGUAUGGGAGAGGGUGAUGGAAUUCCAGGUGUAGCGGUGGAAUGCGUAGAUAUCUGGAAGAACACCAGUAGCGAAGGCGGUCACCUGGCCCAAUACUGACGCUGAGGCUCGAAAGCUGGGGGAGCAAAC
This 416-nucleotide ribosomal RNA is filed under the name uncultured bacterium. Its description in RNAcentral is "bacterial SSU rRNA". It matches the Rfam family "Bacterial small subunit ribosomal RNA", at positions 356 to 773 of the family's 1533-position model. The record is from RNAcentral.